RNAcentral lists this ribosomal RNA (536 nucleotides) under uncultured bacterium. Its description in RNAcentral is "bacterial SSU rRNA". It matches the Rfam family "Bacterial small subunit ribosomal RNA", at positions 59 to 567 of the family's 1533-position model. The record is from RNAcentral.
CAGUCGACGCUUCUUUCCUCCCGAGUGCUUGCACUCAAUUGGAAAGAGGAGUGGCGGACGGGUGUGUAACACGUGGGUAACCUACCCAUCAGAGGGGGAUAACACUUGGAAACAGGUGCUAAUACCGCAUAACAGUUUAUGCCGCAUGGCAUAAGAGUGAAAGGCGCUUUCGGGUGUCGCUGAUGGAUGGACCCGCGGUGCAUUAGCUAGUUGGUGAGGUAACGGCUCACCAAGGCCACGAUGCAUAGCCGACCUGAGAGGGUGAUCGGCCACACUGGGACUGAGACACGGCCCAGACUCCUACGGGAGGCAGCAGUAGGGAAUCUUCGGCAAUGGACGAAAGUCUGACCGAGCAACGCCGCGUGAGUGAAGAAGGUUUUCGGAUCGUAAAACUCUGUUGUUAGAGAAGAACAAGGACGUUAGUAACUGAACGUCCCCUGACGGUAUCUAACCAGAAAGCCACGGCUAACUACGUGCCAGCAGCCGCGGUAAUACGUAGGUGGCAAGCGUUGUCCGGAUUUAUUGGGCGUAAAGCG